AAGAGUCGGGUCAUCAAGGGGAACAACUGAGGAGGAAUGUACAUAGACGUGUUCCUUCUCCUUGAAGAAAUCCACAAACAGAUUUCUGAUCUGUGAACCCGUCAACUUGCUCUCCAUGACUGGUUAAGUUUUAUACCUGAAAUCUGGCACUUCUGCACAGCUAUGACUGUUCUGUUCAA
Saccostrea cuccullata (small rock oyster) is the source of this 179-nucleotide long non-coding RNA. RefSeq lists it as uncharacterized. Lineage: Eukaryota; Metazoa; Mollusca; Bivalvia; Ostreida; Ostreidae. The transcript has 2 exons. The record is from RefSeq and is a predicted model, not a curated record.